Molecule: RNA transcript, 1761 nt
Organism: Prinia subflava (tawny-flanked prinia)
Lineage: Eukaryota; Metazoa; Chordata; Aves; Passeriformes; Cisticolidae
Gene: TMEM9
Gene name: transmembrane protein 9
Exons: 7
Source: RefSeq, a predicted model, not a curated record
GGCUCAGCCCCAAGGAGGGGCGGCGCUGCCCCGUACGGAGAGCCAGGCGGGAGCUGCCCGGGUCAUGUCCGUCGAAAGCCCCUCCGGCAACGACAACUGCGGACGCCGCGAAUCCCACCGCCGGCUGCCACCACCGCGUCCCCUCAGCUCGGCGGAAAAUGGGCCCACCCUCAGCGACCGGCUGGGCUGUCUGUCCUUCGAUUGGCCAGCAGUGCUGUCUGUCACUGAGCAUCCUGCUCCAUGGCCAAUGGGCGCGCGGGAAGGGUCGGGGUGGGGCCUGCAGGACGGGGCCGCGGCCGCGCUUGGGCCGGAGCGAGGGGCAGUUUUGUUCCCUCAGGCUCACAGGAUGUUUGCUCAGAGCUCCUGGAACUCUGUGAGCCCCGUGCUGCUGCUGGUGCUGCUGGGCUGUGUCCUGUGUCCCCCAGCACAGGCCAGCAAGAGCUCCGAGGACAUUCGCUGCAAGUGCAUCUGCCCCCCGUACCGCAACAUCAGCGGGCAUAUCUACAACAAGAAUGUGUCCCAGAAGGACUGCAACUGUCUGCACGUGGUGGAGCCCAUGCCAGUGCCCGGGAACGACGUGGAGGCCUACUGCCUGCUCUGUGAGUGCAAGUACGAGGAGCGCAGCACCACCACCAUCAAGGUGAUCAUCAUCAUCUACCUGUCGGUGGUGGGGGCCCUGCUGCUCUAUAUGGCGUUCCUGGUGCUCGUGGACCCCCUGAUCCGCAAGCCAGACCCCUAUACCCAGCCCCUGCACAACGAGGAGGACAGUGAGGACACUCGCUCCCUGGGCGCAGUGCCUGCUCUGGCUGGUGCCAGGGCCAACACGGUGCUGGAGCGGGUGGAGGGGGCACAGCAGCGCUGGAAGCGGCAGGUGCAGGAGCAGAGGAAGACUGUGUUCGACCGGCACAAGAUGCUGAGCUAGGCCCUGCUGGGCUCUGCCACAUCAGGACACCCCAGCGUUGGAAUGGAACCUCCAGCGCUCCCUGAUUCACCGUCUCCAGAGGGAGCAACAGUCCCAAAGCCUUCUCUGGUCGUGUCCCCUGCCCUUCCCCAGCCCAGCCACGCUGGCCCCUGGGCUAUGGCUGCCAUGUGGAGCUUGGCCAAACAUGGGACUCCAUCAGCCUACCCCAGCAGGGACAGGGACUGGGAAUGGAGCACUGGGAGCUGGCUGAGUCUUCCUAGGAGAAAAAUAGAAUUUUGAUGUGGGAUAAAUUAUGUGAUGUUUCUCCAGGAUGCAGCAGCCACCUCUUCCUCCUCCUCCAGUGUGCACUGAUGGUCCCUGGGCAUUGUAGUGCUGAGCCACGUGUGCAGCACAGGAACAAAGGGGAGGGGGUUUCUGCCAGUGGGCACUGCUGCUUCGGCUUAUCCUGAUGUAAAUGGAGAGAUUUCCAUACCUCUGGAGUCUGUCCAGAUUUACACCAGCAUAACUGAGACUACAGCCUGCUUCUAGGCAGUAGAUAGAAACCUCCUGGAGUGAAACCUCUCCAUUUGUACCCACACUGGUGACCCUUGGUGUUCUCCCAGGGUGGGCAGUGGCAUUUCUGUCCAACAGAGCUGGGGCAAAGGCUCUCCUGGAGCACUGGAAGCACCUGUCAGGGCCCUGGGAAGUGGGCACCUGAGCCACUCAGAACACUCCAAGAGCUCUGACAGCACUUGGGCUGUGUGGAGGAAGCUGCAGUGGUUCUGCCAUGUGUAUUGAUGCCACUGAAAACAUUUGGAGUUUAUGGUGUAGCACCUCUAUUAAACGCAGACAAAGAUCUA